UUAAUCCACAACCACAAGCGCCAGGGAAUUACGAGCCAAGCUUAAAACCCAAAGGAUUUGACGGUGUCCCACCCCCCUAGAGGAGCCUGUUCUAUAAUCGAUGAUCCCCGCUACACCCGACCAUUUCUUGCUUAUAUCAGUCUGUAUACCUCCGUCGAAAGCUUACCAUGUGAACGCCCCCCACAGUAGGUUCAAUGACCCCCGUCAAUACGUCAGGUCAAGGUGCAGCUUAAGAAAUGGGAAGCGAUGGGCUACAAUUUCUAACCUAGAACAAACGAAAGGCUAUGUGAAAUCAUAGUCACGAAGGCGGAUUUAGUAGUAAAAAGAAAAUAGAGUGUUCUUUUUAACCUGGCUCUGGGACGCGUACACACCGCCCGUCACCCUCUUCGAUAGUGCUAACCCACAGUCCAUAACCUAUUUAUACGUCUGAGAAGAGGCAAGUCGUAACAUGGUAAGUGUACUGGAAAGUGCACUUGGUAUAUUACAAAAUAUAGCUUAACAAAAGCCCCCCGCUUACACCGAGGAGUUAUCUGUUUGACCCAGAUUAUUUUGAGCCUUAAAUCUAGCCCACAUGAUCCGCAUGAUACUCCCCAACAUCUGUAAAAAAUAAAACAUUUUAACAUUUUAGUAUAGGCGAUAGAAAAAUUAUUAAGCGCUUUAGACAGAGUACCGCAAGGGAAAUAUGAAAUAGUAAUGAAACAAUUUUUAUAGCCACAAACAGCAGAGACACCCCCUCG
Molecule: ribosomal RNA, 737 nt
Filed under: Odorrana andersonii (golden crossband frog)
Lineage: Eukaryota; Metazoa; Chordata; Amphibia; Anura; Ranidae
Description: partial 12S ribosomal RNA
Rfam family: Bacterial small subunit ribosomal RNA (bases 1-489)
Source: RNAcentral